GAUGAACGCUGGCGGCGUGCCUAAUACAUGCAAGUCGAGCGAACAGAUGAGUAGCUUGCUCCUCUGACGUUAGCGGCGGACGGGUGUGUAACACGUGGAUAACCUACCUAUAAGACUGGGAUACCUUCGGGAAACCGGAGCUAAUACCUGAUAAUAUCUUAAACCGCAUGGUUCAAUAGUGACCGACGGUUUUGCUGUCACUUAUAGAUUGAUCCGCUCCGGAUUAGCUAGUUGGUCAGGUAACGGCUUACCAAGGCAACGAUGAGUAGCCGGACUGAGAGGAGGAACCGGCAAAACGGGAAUGAAAAAAGGGCCCAAACCCUAAGGGAGGCAGGAGGAGGGAAAUUUGGCCAAUGGGAGAAAGCCUGAACGAGCAAAGCCGGGUGGGGGAAGAAGGGUUUCGGGUUGGAAAACCCUUGUAUUAGGGAAGAACAAAUGUGUAAGUAACUAUGCACGGCUUGACGGUACCUAAUCAGAAAGCCACGGCUAACUACGUG
This 497-nucleotide ribosomal RNA is filed under the name uncultured bacterium. RNAcentral's name for it is "partial 16S ribosomal RNA". It matches the Rfam family "Bacterial small subunit ribosomal RNA", at positions 28 to 507 of the family's 1533-position model. The record is from RNAcentral.